AAAAGUUUUAUUUAUCUUGAUGCUAAAACAGGUUUAGUCAGAGAGCUGACAUGCCUUAAAUAAAUUAGUGGAAUUAAUUCCUACUUUUUGAUACAACAGAAAACCAACGCUGGCACCGGAGAUCAACCCAUUGCAUCCUGUUCUGAGUUAAUAACGAUAUGGAUAUUGUUUAGAUUUUUUUUUUCCCCCUUCCAGACGCAAUGCAACGAGGGCUAGCCCGAGCCACAGAGAUUCUGCCUGUUUAUUAGAGGCUGGAAAAAAAAAAAGGAUCAAGACCUGGUUGUAACACAGCUAACUCUGACAGCUAAAGAACCAGUUUGGCGUCUGGUUUGUCUGUUGUUUUACUGCUGACCUUCAAAUCAACUUUAACCCAUGACUUCUUCAGGCAUAUAUCAUGACAAGAGCCUGUUUAACACAAAUGGUGCCCAUCUUAAGGGGAAGAAAGUCAAGAUUUCCUUUUUUUUUUAUGAAGAAUUUGGUUUUCCACCCUGCUUUUCUCCGUCACCACAGGUGAAAUCCUUCCUAGCAGCUGGCUUAUGAAAUAUUGUGAUGGGAGGCCUUAAUAAGCCGAAAGCACCCUCAGCGGGAGAUAAAUGUAUGCAAAUGAGAUGCACAAACAAAGGAGCCCGGACAGAGAAAUAUCUGCAAAUCCAGCAAAAAAAGCUGCCUGAAGCUAGAAGAUGAACAGCUUUGAUAAAAUGGUGAAUGUGGAUUCCGGGUUUCGAAGAAGAAUGGAUACUUGGAUGGAAAAUUGGAAUAAUAUCAGAAUCAGUGUCAAAGGAUUGUUGGAAUAGGACACUCCCACUCUAAACAAUACGUACACAUGAAAUUGUUGACACUGUCUGAUAACAGAACCAAAAUAAAUCUGCACUUUAUGUACAAA
Molecule: long non-coding RNA, 883 nt
Organism: Xenopus tropicalis (tropical clawed frog)
Lineage: Eukaryota; Metazoa; Chordata; Amphibia; Anura; Pipidae
Exons: 2
Source: RefSeq, a predicted model, not a curated record